CCUACGGUGGGCUGCAGUGGGGAAUAUUGGACAAUGGGCGAAAGCCUGAUCCAGCCAUGCCGCGUGUGUGAAGAAGGCCUUCGGGUUGUAAAGCACUUUCAGUGGGGAAGAAAGCCUUGGGGCUAAUACCCUCGAGGAAGGACAUCACCCACAGAAGAAGCACCGGCUAACUCCGUGCCAGCAGCCGCGGUAAUACGGAGGGUGCGAGCGUUAAUCGGAAUUACUGGGCGUAAAGCGCGCGUAGGCGGUCUGAUAAGCCGGUUGUGAAAGCCCCGGGCUCAACCUGGGAACGGCAUCCGGAACUGUCAGGCUAGAGUGCAGGAGAGGAAGGUAGAAUUCCCGGUGUAGCAGUGAAAUGCGUAGAGAUCGGGAGGAAUACCAGUGGCGAAGGCGGCCUUCUGGACUGACACUGACGCUGAGGUGCGAAAGCGUGGGUAGCAAACAGGAUUAGAUACCCGUGUAGUC
RNAcentral lists this ribosomal RNA (465 nucleotides) under Vreelandella stevensii. RNAcentral's name for it is "partial 16S ribosomal RNA". It matches the Rfam family "Bacterial small subunit ribosomal RNA", at positions 338 to 795 of the family's 1533-position model. Lineage: Bacteria; Pseudomonadati; Pseudomonadota; Gammaproteobacteria; Oceanospirillales; Halomonadaceae. The record is from RNAcentral.